RNAcentral lists this ribosomal RNA (332 nucleotides) under Sarcocystis sp. DM-1-1. RNAcentral's name for it is "partial 18S ribosomal RNA". Lineage: Eukaryota; Apicomplexa; Conoidasida; Eucoccidiorida; Sarcocystidae. The record is from RNAcentral.
CUGACUCAUGGACAUAGGUAAAUAAAAUUCUAUACAAAACAUUGAUGAAUCAAAUCUGGCAAUAUAUACAAGAAUUACUACAACAAAUUAGAAAUUACUACAAACAAGAAAUAAGAGAAAACAGCAAUAUAUAAAAAUGAAUUGGGAAACCACCAUUGAAACAGAUGAAACUGAAACAAAUGUUAGACUGUUGAGAAUGUCUAUGAUAUAUUAACAUAAAAUAUAUUUGAAAACCCAGAAAAGAUAGAUAAAAUUGAAAAGAAAAUGUAAUUUGUAAAAAAUGACACUAGUACAGAUACAAGAGCUUAAAUAAACCAAUUUUCAUAGAAGAA